GGUGAAGUGGCCGAGUGGUUAUGGCGUCACGUUUAGGUCUACGUAUGUAAACCCGUGAUGGGAAACCGCGCGAGUUCGAAUCUCGUCUUCAUCA
RNAcentral lists this transfer RNA (94 nucleotides) under Elsinoe ampelina. Its description in RNAcentral is "tRNA-Leu". It matches the Rfam family "tRNA". From Rfam's summary of the family: Transfer RNA (tRNA) molecules are approximately 80 nucleotides in length. Lineage: Eukaryota; Fungi; Ascomycota; Dothideomycetes; Myriangiales; Elsinoaceae. The record is from RNAcentral.